UUCAAGAAUAUAAUAAUAUAAGUAUCGUUCCCUUUUCUCCACCUACCCAAAACUUUCUUCAACAACGGGUAGUCAAAAUUUAAGGGGAUGUUAUUUAAUUUUUGUAAGGUGGUAUCUCUUACAACUUUUUUUUUGUUAAAAGAUAAAAAAAAAAACGUUUCUCAACCUGAUUCAAUGGCGGUACAAUGAGUUUGAUUUAAAUACUGCAGCAUCUUGCCAGUUGAAGAUGAAGUUUAUUUAUUCGGCGGAAAUUUCUACAAUGCAAUCAGAUUCAUCUUUUGUUAAAGUUGUUUUUUUUUCCUUACAACGGCCGUAAUUUCCUUGAUUAAAUCUGUUGAUAUUCAAAAUGUAAUGGAUGCAUCUGCAAGCGUUGAUCCAUCACGUCUUCCAUCAAAGUGCAAAUGAAUUUGCGUGUGUUUAUAUUUAGUUUGUAAGAAACACAAAUUAUAAAUACAACAAGAGCAAGACAACAUUUGUUUGGUAAGAACCGAGAUGAUAUACACUGCAAGAGGAAGACAAUAUUUUGUUAAUAAGAACACAAAUGAUAUACAACAAGAAGACAACAUUUGUUUGAUAGAGACACAAAUUAUAUAUACAACUAUAGGAAGAAUUAUAUGACUUUUUUAAUGUCCUAAGGCAAAAUAUCAAGAAAAUUCACAUGUAUUUUGAGUUCACAUUUUGAGUUCUUGUUGAAUUAUUAAAAUUAGGGGACAAGUUAUUAAAUGUAUGGAUUUAUUAUUAACAAUAA
This is a long non-coding RNA of Vicia villosa (hairy vetch), 748 nucleotides long. RefSeq lists it as uncharacterized. Lineage: Eukaryota; Viridiplantae; Streptophyta; Magnoliopsida; Fabales; Fabaceae. The transcript is spliced from 3 exons. The record is from RefSeq and is a predicted model, not a curated record.